GUGGGGAAUAUUGGGCAAUGGGCGCAAGCCUGACCCAGCAACGCCGCGUGAGGGAAGAAGGUCUUCGGAUUGUAAACCUCUGUCCUUGGGGACGAAAAAAAUGACGGUACCCAAGGAGGAAGCUCCGGCUAACUACGUGCCAGCAGCCGCGGUAAUACGUAGGGAGCGAGCGUUGUCCGGAAUUACUGGGCGUAAAGGGUGCGUAGGCGGCUUGGCAAGUCAGAUGUGAAAUCCCCGGGCUUAACUCGGGAGUUGCAUUUGAAACUGCUAGGCUUGAGUGCAGGAGAGGAAAGCGGAAUUCCUAGUGUAGCGGUGAAAUGCGUAGAUAUUAGGAGGAACACCAGUGGCGAAGGCGGCUUUCUGGACUGUAACUGACGCUGAGGCACGAAAGCGUGGGGAGCAAACAGGAUUAGAUACCCCUGUAGUCC
RNAcentral lists this ribosomal RNA (428 nucleotides) under uncultured bacterium. RNAcentral's name for it is "partial 16S ribosomal RNA". It matches the Rfam family "Bacterial small subunit ribosomal RNA", at positions 354 to 796 of the family's 1533-position model. The record is from RNAcentral.